Molecule: ribosomal RNA, 449 nt
Filed under: uncultured bacterium
Lineage: Bacteria
Description: partial 16S ribosomal RNA
Rfam family: Bacterial small subunit ribosomal RNA
Source: RNAcentral
AAUGAACGCUGGCGGCAGGCCUAACACAUGCAAGUCGAACGGAUCCUUCGGGAUUAGUGGCGGACGGGUGAGUAACGCGUGGGAACAUACCCAAAGGUACGGAAUAGCCUCGGGAAACUGGGAGUAAUACCGUUUGUGCUCGGAAGAGGAAAGAUUUAUCGCCUUUGGAUUGGCCCGCGUUGGAUUAGGUAGUUGGUGGGGUAAUGGCCUACCAAGCCGACGAUCCAUAGCUGGUGUGAGAGGAUGAUCAGCCACACUGGGACUGAGACACGGCCCAGACUGCUACGGGAGGCAGCAGGGGGGAAUCUUAGACAAUGAGGGAAACCCUGAUCUAGCCAUGCCGCGUGAUCGAUGAAGGCCUUAGGGUUGUAAAGAUCUUUCAGGUGGGAAGAUAAUGACUGUACCACCAGAAGAAGCCCCGGCUAACUCCGUGCCAGCCGCCGCCGUAA